GCGUCGCUCACGCUGGGAGCUGUAGACCGGAGCUGUUCCUAUUUGGCCAUCUUGGCUCCUCCCCCGACAAUUUCUAGAAAAAGUCAUAAGAUCAGCAAGAAGAGAAACUGUAGAUUUGCCUCAACUCAACAUGUUAAGUAAUCGCCUGACAUCUACAUAAGACCACCUCUUGGCACCUGGCUACACAAGCUGAAAUGGGUGAAUGGUUAAACAAAUUGUGGUACAUUCCUACAAUGAAAUACUACUCAGCAAUAAGAAGGAAUAGACUGUUGAUACGUUCAACAAGUUGGGUGAAUCUCAAAGACACUAUGCUGAGUAAAAGAAGCCAUCUCAAAAGGGCUGCAUACCAAAAGGAACAAAAGCACAAAACAAACAAACAAACAAACAAACAAGCAAAUGAUGGUGGAAACUAUUUUCAAAACUUCCCUGUUCUGGUAAAGACGUUUUCAGAGCUCAAACUAGUCCUGCUGAAAAUAUUUUUUAAAAUAUGAAAGCAUAGCGGAAAAUUUGUAUGAAAAAGAAAAAAGAAAAAGAAGGAGGAGGAAGAAGAAGAAGAAAGAAGAAAAAGGAGAGGAAGAAGAAGAAGGAGGAGGAGGAGAAGAAGAGGAGGAGGAGGAGGAGGAAAUGGCAGAGACAAUGUAUGUCCCAGAAAGCCUAAAAUGUGUACUGUUUGUCCGUUUAUAGAAAAAGUGUGCCAGUCCCUACUCUGUUCCCAAUUUUAAAAACAAAUAAAUAAAAAGAAAAACAAGCAAGUCUCUCAGCCAAGAAAGAAUCGAUGGGAACUUUUUCAACUUUAUAAAGUGGAUCUACAAAAAACUACAACUAACACUAACGUCACACCUAAUGGUGAAAGUCUGAAUGUUUUCCCUCUAAGACUAGGAAAAGGUGGCAUGGAUGUCCACUCUCCCUACUCUAUUCAGCAUUGUAUCAAAAGUUCUUAUCAGUGAAAUAAGACAAGAAAACAAUAAAUGGCAUCCAUAUUGGAAAAGAAGUAACACUGUCUUUAUUUGCAGAUGACAUUAUAAUCUAAAUAGAAAAUCUUAUGGAAUCUGCUAAAAAGCUAAUAGAACCAAUAAGCGAGUUUAGCAUAGUUACAAGACACAACAUAUAAAAAUUAAUUAUAUUUCAAAAUACUAGCAAUGAACAAUUAAAUUUUCCUUUUAAAAUUUUC
This 1171-nucleotide long non-coding RNA is filed under the name Homo sapiens (human). Its description in RNAcentral is "HSALNT0341948". Lineage: Eukaryota; Metazoa; Chordata; Mammalia; Primates; Hominidae. The record is from RNAcentral.